GAUGAACGCUAGCUACAGGCUUAACACAUGCAAGUCGAGGGGAAACGAUAGAGAAAGCUUGCUUUUUCUAGGCGUCGACCGGCGCACGGGUGAGUAACGCGUAUCCAACCUGCCCACCACUUGGGGAUAACCUUGCGAAAGUAAGACUAAUACCCAAUGACGUCUCUAGAAGGCAUCUGAAAGGGAUUAAAGAUUUAUCGGUGAUGGAUGGGGAUGCGUCUGAUUAGCUUGUUGGCGGGGUAACGGCCCACCAAGGCGACGAUCAGUAGGGGUUCUGAGAGGAAGGUCCCCCCACAUUGGAACUGAGACACGGUCCAAACUCCUACGGGAGGCAGCAGUGAGGAAUAUUGGUCAAUGGGCGCAAGCCUGAACCAGCCAAGUAGCGUGAGGGAAGACUGCCCCCACGGGUUGUAAAACCUCUUUUUGUUUGGGAAUAAAGUGCGGGACNCGUCCCGCAUUGCAUGUACCAUUUGAAUAAGGACCGGCUAAUUCCGUG
This 496-nucleotide ribosomal RNA is filed under the name uncultured bacterium. RNAcentral describes it as "bacterial SSU rRNA". It matches the Rfam family "Bacterial small subunit ribosomal RNA", at positions 28 to 507 of the family's 1533-position model. The record is from RNAcentral.